CGGGGAAUAUUGGACAAUGGGCGAAAGCCUGAUCCAGCCAUGCCGCGUGUGUGAAGAAGGUCUUCGGAUUGUAAAGCACUUUAAGUUGGGAGGAAGGGCAUUCACCUAAUACGUUAGUGUUUUGACGUUACCGACAGAAUAAGCACCAGCUAACUCUGUGCCAGCAGCCGCGGGAAUACAGAGGGUGCAAGCGUUAAUCGGAAUUACUGGGCGUAAAGCGCGCGUAGGUGGUUUGUUAAGUUGGAUGUGAAAUCCCCGGGCUCAACCUGGGAACUGCAUUCAAAACUGACUGACUAGAGUAUGGUAGAGGGUGGUGGAAUUUCCUGUGUAGCGGUGAAAUGCGUAGAUAUAGGAAGGAACACCAGUGGCGAAGGCGACCACCUGGACUAAUACUGACACUGAGGUGCGAAAGCGUGGGGAGCAAACA
RNAcentral lists this ribosomal RNA (427 nucleotides) under uncultured bacterium. RNAcentral's name for it is "partial 16S ribosomal RNA". It matches the Rfam family "Bacterial small subunit ribosomal RNA", at positions 355 to 774 of the family's 1533-position model. The record is from RNAcentral.